Molecule: ribosomal RNA, 381 nt
Filed under: Sphingomonas sp. FeGH1
Lineage: Bacteria; Pseudomonadati; Pseudomonadota; Alphaproteobacteria; Sphingomonadales; Sphingomonadaceae
Also listed under: 3 other names
Description: bacterial SSU rRNA
Rfam family: Bacterial small subunit ribosomal RNA
Source: RNAcentral
GGCAUGCCUAACACAUGCAAGUCGAACGGACCCUUCGGGGUUAGUGGCGCACGGGUGCGUAACGCGUGGGAAUCUGCCCUUGGGUUCGGAAUAACUCGCCGAAAGGCGUGCUAAUACCGGAUGAUGUCGUAAGACCAAAGAUUUAUCGCCCAAGGAUGAGCCCGCGUAAGAUUAGCUAGUUGGUGGGGUAAAGGCCCACCAAGGCGACGAUCUUUAGCUGGUCUGAGAGGAUGAUCAGCCACACUGGGACUGAGACACGGCCCAGACUCCUACGGGAGGCAGCAGUGGGGAAUAUUGGACAAUGGGCGAAAGCCUGAUCCAGCAAUGCCGCGUGAGUGAUGAAGGCCUUAGGGUUGUAAAGCUCUUUUACCCGGGAUGAUA